RNAcentral lists this ribosomal RNA (500 nucleotides) under uncultured Glomeromycotina. RNAcentral's name for it is "partial small subunit ribosomal RNA". It matches the Rfam family "Eukaryotic small subunit ribosomal RNA", at positions 591 to 1092 of the family's 1831-position model. Lineage: Eukaryota; Fungi; Glomeromycota. The record is from RNAcentral.
CCAAUAGCGUAUAUUAAAGUUGUUGCAGUUAAAAAGCUCGUAGUUGAAUUUCGGGGUCAGUAGGUUGGUCAUGCCACUGGUAUGUACUGGUCUCACUGAUUCCUCCUUCCUGAUGAGCUGUAAUGCCAUUAAUUUGGUGUUGCGGGGAAUCUGGACUGUUACUUUGAAAAAAUUAGAGUGUUUAAAGCAGGCUAACGCCUGAAUACAUUAGCAUGGAAUAAUGAAAUAGGACGUUCGAUCCUAUUUUGUUGGUUUCUAGGAUUGACGUAAUGAUUAAUAGGGAUAGUUGGGGGCAAUAGUAUGCAAUUGUCAGAGGUGAAAUUCUUGGAUUUAUUGAAGACUAACUACUGCGAAAGCAUUUGCCAAGGAUGUUUUCAUUAAUCAAGAACGAAAGUUAGGCGAUCGAAGACGAUCAGAUACCGUCGUAGUCUUAACCAUAAACUAUGCCGACUAGGGAUCGGAUGAUGUUAAUUUUUUAAUGACUCAUUCGGCGCCUUGCG